Molecule: ribosomal RNA, 497 nt
Filed under: uncultured bacterium
Lineage: Bacteria
Description: partial 16S ribosomal RNA
Rfam family: Bacterial small subunit ribosomal RNA
Source: RNAcentral
GGGGGGGGGGGGGGGGGGGGGGGGGGGGGGGGGGGGGGGGGAGCGGGCGAGGGGCGGGCGCCGCGGGCGUUGGCGGCGGACGGGGGGGGAACACGGGGAUAGCCUACCUAUAAGACGGGGCUGACUUCGGGAAACCGGCGCUACGACCGGGUAAUAUAUUGAACCGCAUGGGUCACUCGUGAAAGACGGUUUUGCUGUCACUUAUAGAUGGAUCCGCGCCGCCUUGUCGAUUUGGCAAGGUACCGGCUUACCAAGGCAACGAUGCGUAGCCGACCUGAGAGGGUGAUCGGCCACACUGGAACUGAGACACGGUCAAGACUCCUACGGGAGGAAGCAGUAGGGAAUCUUCCGCAAUGGGCGAAAGCCUGACGGAGCAACGCCGCGUGAGUGAUGAAGGUCUUCGGAUCGUAAAACUCUGUUAUUAGGGAAGAACAAAUGUGUAAGUAACUAUGCACGUCUUGACGGUACCUAAUCAGAAAGCCACGGCUAACUACGUG